RNAcentral lists this long non-coding RNA (3564 nucleotides) under Citrus sinensis (sweet orange). Its description in RNAcentral is "long non-coding RNA (CSIN_LNC004195)". Lineage: Eukaryota; Viridiplantae; Streptophyta; Magnoliopsida; Sapindales; Rutaceae. The record is from RNAcentral.
CCAAUUAACAAUAUACAACUCAUGUACUCGAGUUAUUGGUUGCAAAUGUAAAUACUAUUCUGUGGUACCAAAAGACCCAUACAUUGCACUAUUGAGCAUUCACAUGCAUAAAACAUUCAUAUUUAUGUAUCUCACAAAAAUUCAUAUUCAUCAUUGUUUCAUGAGCGCUCAUGAUUAUACGAUACAUUGUUAACAAGGAAUGUAAAUUUUUCUAGGCCAAUAAAAAGAAAAAAAUUCAAUAGGCUAAUAAGGACAAAAAAGUUCCGUAAUAAUAUUCCUCCAGAGUAAGUAAUUUUUUCCAAUGACAAGGAGGAAAAUAUUUCCAAGGCCAAUAAAAAGUAAAAACCUUUCUAGGCUAAUCCGAAAGAAAAUCUCCCUAAUAGUAUUCUUCUGGGAUAGUUCACUUUUUCCUUGCACUAAUGAAAAGGAAAAGUUUCACAAUGAUAUUCCUUCAUAAAAUAGUUCUCUUCUCCUUAGGCUAACAAAAAGGAAAAUUGACCCCAGACCAAUAAGAAAAAAAACUUCUGUAAUAAUAUUCCUCCAGAAUAGGCCAAUUUUCCCAAUGAGGAGGAAAAUAUUUCAAUGCUAAUAAAGAGUAGGACAAUUAGGAAGAAAAGUUCUCUAAUAGUACUCUUCCAGAAUAGUUCACUUUUUUCUUACACUGAUAAGGAGGAAAAGUUUCACUAACAAUAUUCGUCUGGAAUAACUCACUUUUCCCUAGGCUAACAAAGAGGAAAAAUACUUCCCUUGGCCAAUAAAGAGAUAAAUAAUAUUUCUCUAGAAUAGGUUGCUUUUCCCAAUGUCAAUGAGGAAAAUAUUCCCAAUGUCAAUAAAGAGGAAAAACUUCCUUAAGGUAAUGAGAAGGAACAGUUACAAAACAAUACUCCUUUGGAAAAUAGUUCACUUUUCCUUACGCCAAGAAGGAGGAAAAACUUUCUUAGAUCAACAAUAAAGAACAAUUCAUUUGGAGAAUAAUUUAUUUUUCUUAGGUUAUGAAGGAGGAAAAACUUCCUUAGGCCAAUGAGGAGGAAAAGUUCUAAAACAAUAUUCAUUUGGAAAAUAGUUCACUUUUCCUUAGGACAACAAAAAAGAAAAAUUUCAUAGUAAUAUUCCUCUAGAAUAGUCCAAUUUUCCUAUGCCAAUAAGAACUAAAAGUUCCCUAAUAACAUCCUCGGAAUAGCUCAGUUUUCCUUAUACCAAUAAAAAAAAUUCCCUAAGCUUAUAAAGAGAAAAAAUUUCUCUAGCACAAAAAGGAAGAAAAGUUUCCUAACAAGGAAAAGUUCCCUAACAAUUCCCUUGGAAUUGCUCGUUUUUCACGAGGCUAAGAAAAAGGAAAAAUUUCUUAUAGACCAACAAAGAGAAAAACAUUUCAUAAUACUAUUCUUCAAGAGUAGGCAUUUUUCCUAUGCCAAGAAGAAAACAAUAUUUCCCAAGGCCAACAAAGAGGAAAAAGAAAAACUUUUCUAGGCCAAAAAGGAAAAGUUUCUUACUAAUAUUCUUCCGAAAUAGAUCACUUUUCUUUACACUAAAAAGGAAAGGUUCUCAAACAAUAUUCCUCCAAAAUAGCUCGUUUUUCCUAAGGCCAAUAAAGAGGAAAAACUUCCCUUAAAUCAAGAAGGAAGAAAAGUUCUGUAAUCAUAUUCCUUCAGAAUAGGCACUUUUUCCUAUGCCAAGAAAGAGAAAAAAUUCUCAAGACCAACAAAGAGGAAAAAGAAAAAUUUUCCUAGGCUAAGACGAAAACGUUUCCUACUGAUAUUCUUUUAGAAUAAAUUACUUUUCCUUACCCUAAUAAAAAAAUGCUCCCUAACAAUAUACCCUUGGAAUAGCUUAUGUUUUUCUGAGGCCAAUAAAGAGGAAAAACUUCUUUAGGACAACAAGAAAAGUUUGCUAAUAGUAUUCACUCGGAAUAGCUUACUUUUUCCUAUGCCAACAAAGAGAAAAGACUUCUCUAGGCCAAUGUGGAAAAAACAUUCUAUAAUAGUAUUCCUCAAGAAUAAUUCACUUUUCUCUGCUCCAAGAAGGAGAAAAAGUUCCCUAAUAAUAUUCUUAUGAAAUAACUCAUUUUUCUCUUGCUAGUUAUGUCGAAAAUCUCUCUAACUAAUAAAGAUGAAAAACUUUACUAGGCCAGUAAGGAAAAAAUAUUUCUAAUAAAACUUUCUCAAAAUAAGUCAUUUUUCCUUAUGUCAAGGAGGAAAAAAAUAUUUUCCUAACCAGUAAAAAGGAAAAACUUAGCUAGAUCAGUAAGGAAAAAAAAUUAUGUAAUAAUAUUCCUCCGAAAUCAGUCUUUCCUUAUGUCAAGGAGAAGAAAAAAUUUCCUAAGUCCUUAAAAAAGAAAAACUUCUCUAGGCUAGUAAGGAAAAAAAAAUUUCUGUAAUAAUAUUCGUUCAGAAUAGGUUGCUUUUCUUAUGUCAAAAAGGAGGAAUUUUUUUCUUAAGUCAAUAAAAAGGAAAACUUCCCUAGAUCAGUAAGGAAAAGAAAAAGUUUCAUAAUAUUUUUUCAAAAUAGGUUACUUUUCCUUAUGCGAAUCAGGAGGAAAAACUUCCAUAUACUAGACCAGUAAGGAGAAAAAGUUCUGUAACAAUAUUCCUUCGAAAUAAGUCACUUUUCCCAAUGCAAAGAAGGAAAAUAUUCCCAGGGCCAACAAAGAGAAAAAAUCACUCUUGGCUAAUAAGGAGGAAUAGCUCCCUAGCAAUAUCCUUGUAAAAUAAUUUACUUCUUCCUUACUCCCUAUAACAUAUUCCUCCAAAAACGUUUACUUUAAAAUAUACUAAUAAGGACAAAAAAAUUUUCCUAGGCUAACAAAUAAGAAAAACUUCCUUAAGCCAAUAGAUAGGAAAAUUUUCCUAAUAAUAUUCUUCCACAAUAGUUUAAUUUUCCUACACUAACAAAGAGGAACGGUUCCCGGACAACAUUUCUCCAAACUAAAUCGCUUUUACUUAGGCCAACAAAGAGAAAAAAAAAUUCUUAAGCUGAAAAGAAAGAAAAAUUCUGUAAUAACAAUCCUCCAUAAUAUAACACUUUACCCAAGACAAGAAGAGCAUGCCAAGCCAAGGGAAGAUUAAUGUUCAACAAGGCAAACAAAGGUUAAGGAAAAAUAAAGGAAAGGAAAAACCGAGGCAAACAAAAGUCAAGACCACAAGAGCAAGCAAAGCUAAGAAAAUAUCACUUUUCAAUAAGGCAAACAAAGGCUAAGGAAAAAUAAAGGCUACAAAAAAAUCGAGGCAAACAAAAGUCAAUGCCACAAGAGCAAGUCAAGCCAAGCCAAGAAAAGGCCAAUGCUCAACAAGGCAAAUAAAUGUUAAGGAAAAAAAUGCUAAGGAAAAAUCAAGGCUAAGAGAAAACUUAGGCAAAUAAAAGCCAAGGCUAUAAGAGCAAGCCAAGCCAAGAAAAUAUCACUCUUCCCUGUUUUAAGAAGGCGGAAAAAUUCCCUAAUAAUAUUCUUCUAAAAUCACUCACUUUUCUUAGGCUAAGAAAGAGGAAAAACUUCCCCUAAGCCAACUAGGAGGAAAAAAUCCAUAAUAAUAUUCACUCAGAAUAGCUCACUUCUUCCUAGGCUAAUAAAGA